Molecule: ribosomal RNA, 26 nt
Filed under: Alternaria sp. MY-2011
Lineage: Eukaryota; Fungi; Ascomycota; Dothideomycetes; Pleosporales; Pleosporaceae
Description: partial 28S large subunit ribosomal RNA
Source: RNAcentral
UUGACCUCGAUCAGGUAGAUCCCAAC